RNAcentral lists this ribosomal RNA (253 nucleotides) under uncultured bacterium. RNAcentral's name for it is "partial 16S ribosomal RNA". It matches the Rfam family "Bacterial small subunit ribosomal RNA", at positions 524 to 776 of the family's 1533-position model. The record is from RNAcentral.
UACGUAGGUGGCAAGCGUUGUCCGGAAUUAUUGGGCGUAAAGCGCGCGCAGGCGGUCCUUUAAGUCGGAUGUGAAAUCCCACGGCUCAACCGUGGAAGUGCAUUCGAAACUGCAGGGCUAGAGUCCUGGAGAGGAAGGUGGAAUGCUUGGUGUAGAGGUGAAAUUCGUAGAUAUCAAGCGGAACACCGGUGGCGAAGGCGGCCUUCUGGACAGUGACUGACGCUGAGACGCGAAAGCGUGGGGAGCAAACAGG